AGGCUGCAACUCGCCUGCAUGAAGUCGGAAUUACUAGUAAUCGCAGAUCAGCAUGCUGCGGUGAAUACGUUCCCGGGCCUUGUACACACCGCCCGUCACACCAUGGGAGUCGGUAACACCCGAAGUCGGUAGCCUAACCGUAAGGAGGGCGCCGCCGAAGGUGGGAUUGAUGACUGGGGGUGAAGUCGUAACAAGGUAAC
Molecule: ribosomal RNA, 200 nt
Filed under: uncultured bacterium
Lineage: Bacteria
Description: partial 16S ribosomal RNA
Rfam family: Bacterial small subunit ribosomal RNA
Source: RNAcentral